This 2018-nucleotide ribosomal RNA is filed under the name Acinetobacter baumannii. Its description in RNAcentral is "partial 23S ribosomal RNA". It matches the Rfam family "Bacterial large subunit ribosomal RNA", at positions 564 to 2571 of the family's 2925-position model. Lineage: Bacteria; Pseudomonadati; Pseudomonadota; Gammaproteobacteria; Moraxellales; Moraxellaceae. The record is from RNAcentral.
AUACAAGCAGUGGGAGCACCUUCGUGGUGUGACUGCGUACCUUUUGUAUAAUGGGUCAGCGACUUAUAUUCAGUAGCAAGGUUAACCGUAUAGGGGAGCCGUAGAGAAAUCGAGUCUUAAUAGGGCGUUUAGUUGCUGGGUAUAGACCCGAAACCAGGCGAUCUAUCCAUGAGCAGGUUGAAGGUUGGGUAACACUAACUGGAGGACCGAACCCACUGUCGUUGAAAAGCCAGGGGAUGACUUGUGGAUAGGGGUGAAAGGCUAAUCAAGCCUGGUGAUAGCUGGUUCUCCCCGAAAGCUAUUUAGGUAGCGCCUCGGACGAAUACCAUAGGGGGUAGAGCACUGUUUCGGCUAGGGGGUCAUCCCGACUUACCAAACCGAUGCAAACUCCGAAUACCUAUGAGUACUAUCCGGGAGACAGACUGCGGGUGCUAACGUCCGUAGUCAAGAGGAAAACAAUCCAGACCGCCAGCUAAGGCCCCAAAAUCAUAGUUAAGUGGGAAACGAUGUGGGAAGGCAUAGACAGCUAGGAGGUUGGCUUAGAAGCAGCCACCCUUUAAAGAAAGCGUAAUAGCUCACUAGUCGAGUCGGCCUGCGCGGAAGAUGUAACGGGGCUAAAACUAUGUGCCGAAGCUGCGGAUUUGACAUUAGUCAAGUGGUAGGGGAGCGUUCUGUAAGCCGAUGAAGGUGUAUUGAGAAGUAUGCUGGAGGUAUCAGAAGUGCGAAUGCUGACGUGAGUAACGACAAAACGGGUGAAAAACCCGUUCGCCGAAAGACCAAGGGUUCCAGUCCAACGUUAAUCGGGGCUGGGUGAGUCGACCCCUAAGGCGAGGCCGAAAGGCGUAGUCGAUGGGAAAAUGGUUAAUAUUCCAUUACUUCUGUGUAAUGCGAUGAGAGGACGGAGAAGGCUAAAUCAGCCUGGCGUUGGUUGUCCAGGUGAAAGGAUGUAGGCAUGUAUCUUAGGCAAAUCCGGGGUACUCUAUGCUGAGAUCUGAUAGCAAGCUGUACUUGUACAGCGAAGUGGUUGAUGCCAUGCUUCCAGGAAAAGUCUCUAAGCUUCAGUUACACAGGAAUCGUACCCGAAACCGACACAGGUGGUCAGGUCGAGUAGACCAAGGCGCUUGAGAGAACUCUGCUGAAGGAACUAGGCAAAAUGGUACCGUAACUUCGGGAGAAGGUACGCUGUUGUUGGUGAUGGAACUCGCUUCCUGAGCUGACGACAGCCGCAGAAACCAGGCCGCUGCAACUGUUUAUUAAAAACAUAGCACUCUGCAAACACGAAAGUGGACGUAUAGGGUGUGAUGCCUGCCCGGUGCUGGAAGGUUAAUUGAUGGGGUUAGCGUAAGCGAAGCUCUUGAUCGAAGCCCCAGUAAACGGCGGCCGUAACUAUAACGGUCCUAAGGUAGCGAAAUUCCUUGUCGGGUAAGUUCCGACCUGCACGAAUGGCAUAAUGAUGGCGGCGCUGUCUCCAGCAGAGGCUCAGUGAAAUCGAAAUCGCUGUGAAGAUGCAGUGUACCCGCGGCUAGACGGAAAGACCCCGUGAACCUUUACUGCAGCUUGACACUGAACUUUGACCUUACUUGUGUAGGAUAGGUGGGAGGCUUUGAAGCUGGAACGCUAGUUCCAGUGGAGCCGUCCUUGAAAUACCACCCUGGUAAUGUUGAGGUUCUAACUCUGUCCCGUGAUCCGGGACGAGGACCGUGUCUGGUGGGUAGUUUGACUGGGGCGGUCUCCUCCUAAAGAGUAACGGAGGAGUACGAAGGUGCGCUCAGCGUGGUCGGAAAUCACGCGUAGAGUAUAAAGGCAAAAGCGCGCUUAACUGCGAGACCCACAAGUCGAGCAGGUACGAAAGUAGGUCUUAGUGAUCCGGUGGUUCUGUAUGGAAGGGCCAUCGCUCAACGGAUAAAAGGUACUCUGGGGAUAACAGGCUGAUACCGCCCAAGAGUUCAUAUCGACGGCGGUGUUUGGCACCUCGAUGUCGGCUCAUCUCAUCCUGGGGCUGAAGCAGGUCCCAAGGG